UGGCUAUAAUCACAUCCACUAACAUCCU
Molecule: non-coding RNA, 28 nt
Filed under: Homo sapiens (human)
Lineage: Eukaryota; Metazoa; Chordata; Mammalia; Primates; Hominidae
Source: RNAcentral